Molecule: ribosomal RNA, 253 nt
Filed under: uncultured bacterium
Lineage: Bacteria
Description: partial 16S ribosomal RNA
Rfam family: Bacterial small subunit ribosomal RNA
Source: RNAcentral
UACGAAGGGGACUAGCGUUGUUCGGAAUUACUGGGCGUAAAGGGCGCGUAGGCGGGAUGGCAAGUCGGUCGUGAAAUCCUUCGGCUCAACCGAAGAACGUCGAUGGAUACUGCUGCUCUUGAGGGUUGCAGAGGAGACUGGAAUUCCCGGUGUAGCGGUGAAAUGUGUAGAGAUCGGGAGGAACACCGGUGGCGAAGGCGGGUCUCUGGGCAAUUCCUGACGCUGAGGCGCGAAAGCGUGGGGAGCAAACGGG